ACUCGAGUGGCGAACGGGUGAGUAACACGUGGGUGAUCUGCCCUGCACUUCGGGAUAAGCCUGGGAAACUGGGUCUAAUACCGGAUAGGACGAUGGUUUGGAUGCCAUUGUGGAAAGUUUUUCGGUGUGGGAUGAGCUCGCGGCCUAUCAGUUUGUUGGUGGGGUAAUGGCCUACCAAGGCGUCGACGGGUAGCCGGCCUGAGAGGGUGUACGGCCACAUUGGGACUGAGAUACGGCCCAG
Molecule: ribosomal RNA, 241 nt
Filed under: uncultured Actinomycetales bacterium
Lineage: Bacteria; Bacillati; Actinomycetota; Actinomycetes; Actinomycetales
Description: partial 16S ribosomal RNA
Rfam family: Bacterial small subunit ribosomal RNA
Source: RNAcentral